GGCUUUAUAGCUCAGUUGGUAGAGCAAGGGACUGAAAAUCCCUGUGUCCCUGGUUCGAUUCCAGGUGAAGCCACCA
This 76-nucleotide transfer RNA is filed under the name Clostridium sp. CAG:492. Its description in RNAcentral is "transfer RNA-Phe(GAA)". It matches the Rfam family "tRNA". From Rfam's summary of the family: Transfer RNA (tRNA) molecules are approximately 80 nucleotides in length. Their secondary structure includes four short double-helical elements and three loops (D, anti-codon, and T loops). The record is from RNAcentral. RNAcentral also lists the same sequence under 4 other names. Lineage: Bacteria; Bacillati; Bacillota; Clostridia; Eubacteriales; Clostridiaceae.